RNAcentral lists this long non-coding RNA (2836 nucleotides) under Marmota monax (woodchuck). The record is from RNAcentral. Lineage: Eukaryota; Metazoa; Chordata; Mammalia; Rodentia; Sciuridae.
GGAGGGAAGGAGCAGGGAGGGUGGGGUGAGCCCUGGAGCCAGACCUGAGGCCUGGCAGGAGUAACUGGCUGGAGAAGUUUCUUUGGUGACAGCUGAUUGAAGGGGCCCCUGGGGCGAGCUGCACCUAGCCAAAUCUGAACCCUGGACACCUGAGUUCUUCCCCCAGUUUGUGAGCUACAGGAAUACCAAGUCCAGGGGCAGAAGUGAGAACUCCCAGGUCCUGGCUGGGUGCACACCAAAGAGUAGUGUUUCUGGUGACCACAGUACUCAGCUACUCUAUUCCAUCUUCCUCUUCCUGGGUUUGAACCUUGGGAUCAUAGCUCGCAGAAGAGGGGUCCAGCACUGGAAUGCAGUCACACCCAAAGAACAGAUGCUGGCUUGGCUCCUGACAGACAAAAGUCAUUCCUUAUGCCCUGAAUGGUCUGCAUCAUGUCUAGCCAUCACAGUGCAUUGUCACUAUGGCCUUUCUUCCCUCUGUUGUUUUCCCAAAUUGUCUUUCCUGACAGAGCAGAACACUGUGGCCCCUUGGACCCGAUGAGCAGUUUUUCAGGUUUACAGAGAACAGAGGUGUAAGAAGAGGCAUUAUAGAGUGCAUGUUGAAAACUCCAGGACAACCCCCUCCCACCGAGUGUUAGUCUAAGUUCAUCAGUACCAUGGGAUGGAAACAGAACUCUAAGGUAACUGGAUAGAGAGGUUGCCCCCCUGGGUGCCUUAAUUAGAAGAUUAUGCCACCCUUAGUCUCCAUGGGCCAAUCAUGCUAGUGGCUCUAAUGGUUUAUUUAUAAUUUGUCUGGGAGGGUAGCAUGGGGCCAGAGUAAGGAGCAGGAGGCACAGAAGCAUAAAGACCACAAAAGCAACACACAAACAUACAUCUUGACCCUCUCUAAAGCUCAAGGAGAGAGGCAGGGACUUAACUUUUUCCUUGUGGUGUUAUCAGGGAGAGGCAGGAAGUAGGAGAAGCAAGUGAAUGUGUGAGUAGAACUGCAGGGAUAGAGUCAGAGGGAGUGUGGUGGACAGAGGGUAUAAGUAUUUUGAGCCACAGUCAAAAGGCUGUGACUAAGUACUUAUAAACUCUCUGACUGGUUCAUAUUCAUCAUUUACCGUGAUAAUGUGGUGUGUGUAUAUGUAUAUUCAUAUAUAUACACACAUACAUAUAUAUAUAUAUAUAUAUAUAUAUAUGUAUGUAUGUAUAUGUAUAUGGAAGGAUCUGGGGCAAAUGGGGAUACUUCAGAAGGGAAUUUGAGGCCCAGAGACAGGCUGAAUUCCCUAGAGAAAUGGGGAUAGAAGAAGAAGGCCUUACAAGUAUCUGGCAACUGUAGAAAGGAGAAACUUCCUGGAAAAGAGGUAUACCCACAUUAUGUUAUCUUAAAAACAGCUGCCACCUCCCUGACAUGGACCACAAAUUUCAUCAGAAUGACCAAGGGGAAGGUUUGGAUAAGUGAAUGGGACCCCAUCUUUUUAUUUUAUUUUAUUUUUGGCAGAACUGGGGGUUGAACCCAGGGGUGUUCUACUCUACCACUGAGCUACAUCCAUAACUCUUCUUUAUUUUUGAGUCAGGAUCUCCCUAAGUUGCCUAGACUGAGCCUCCUGCCUCUACCUUCCCUCCCAAGUAGCUAUGAUUACAGGUGUGCAUCACUGCACCUGGUGAAUGGGGCCCAAUUUUGAUAUCAAGAGAAUUGAAUGAGGGAGACUAUGGAAGCCUGCAGAAUGGGGGAAAUGGCUAGCAUACCACAAUGAACACAGCAAAAGGAUGGUCCAGGGAGAUGAAGUGAAUAUUGGAAAAAGAAAACAUGAACUUCAAAGGUGACAAUGGGAGCUUUUGGCCAGGCUUGAGGUUUUUGAUGCUGAAAAAUCUAGUUUCAAUGCUGGUGGUUACAUAGAGUCAGGCAGAAGCUAGUGAGAAGACUUGUUAGUAUUACUGGGACCCUGCUUGGGUGCAAGGGACUGUUGUUUCCCAGCUUUCUUCACUCUCUUGAACUCAGUUUUCUUUGCCAGUUUGCUAGUCCCUUGGAUCCCAGAAAGGGGAGAGUCAUCUGGCCAGUCCCUUUCUUUAGGGAAGUGAGACAAACAGUGCAAUGCAGAGAUUGUGUGGUCCUUCCUAUUUACUUCUGAUCAGGAAGGGGCCUUCCUACAAGGACAUUUCAGUUUCUUUUCAACCUGUCCUAUUUCCAUAGGUCUUGAGACUGUAUGAAAAAGGUAGAUGAGAAUAGAGGGAGACAGUCUCUGACUUGGGGGUCAGGGCAGCAAGGUGGUGGUGUGGGAACAUUGGGCCUAAUUCUCUGGGGCUUAGGAAGAGGGAAAGGUGACAGGCUGAUGGUGCCAGAUCCUCUGCGGGCCAAAGAGUUCUAAGAUUGAGUUCCUUUAACUUUCUAGGGCCAAUUUCCUGGAUGGCUGGAAGAAAGGUGCAUUUAGGGUUGGAGAUGGUAUAUGUUGGAAGGCCUCCUCUUGGUAUAACUGAGUAAGGAAGUCUUCCUGAAAUGUUGACCAGUACAUGUGCAGGAGAAAAUGGUGAGCAUUACACCACUAAGGUUUUAGUUUUUGUUGUUUUAAGAUGGACAAGAGGGCCUAAAACAGGAUGAGGAUGAGGGCAGUUGGAGGUAUUAUGAGAAUUCAGGUUAUGAAAUGGGAAACUGAAAAAUAUGGGAUAUUGAGGGGGAGCAGAAUUUGGUGUUCAAGAAUGAGGGUAGUAGCUGGGUGCGGUGGCACAUGACUGUAAUCCCAGCACUCAGGAGGCUGAGGCAGAAAGAUCAAGAGUUCAAAGCCAACCUCACCAAAAGUGAGGUGCUAAGCAACUCAGUGAGACCCUGUCUCUAAAUAAAAUAUAAAAUAAGGCUGGG